Molecule: ribosomal RNA, 675 nt
Filed under: Acinetobacter schindleri
Lineage: Bacteria; Pseudomonadati; Pseudomonadota; Gammaproteobacteria; Moraxellales; Moraxellaceae
Description: bacterial SSU rRNA
Rfam family: Bacterial small subunit ribosomal RNA
Source: RNAcentral
GCGUAAGCGUGCGUAGGCGGCUUUUUAAGUCGGAUGUGAAAUCCCUGAGCUUAACUUAGGAAUUGCAUUCGAUACUGGAAAGCUAGAGUAUGGGAGAGGAUGGUAGAAUUCCAGGUGUAGCGGUGAAAUGCGUAGAGAUCUGGAGGAAUACCGAUGGCGAAGGCAGCCAUCUGGCCUAAUACUGACGCUGAGGUACGAAAGCAUGGGGAGCAAACAGGAUUAGAUACCCUGGUAGUCCAUGCCGUAAACGAUGUCUACUAGCCGUUGGGGCCUUUGAGGCUUUAGUGGCGCAGCUAACGCGAUAAGUAGACCGCCUGGGGAGUACGGUCGCAAGACUAAAACUCAAAUGAAUUGACGGGGGCCCGCACAAGCGGUGGAGCAUGUGGUUUAAUUCGAUGCAACGCGAAGAACCUUACCUGGCCUUGACAUACUAAGAACUUUCCAGAGAUGGAUUGGUGCCUUCGGGAACUUAGAUACAGGUGCUGCAUGGCUGUCGUCAGCUCGUGUCGUGAGAUGUUGGGUUAAGUCCCGCAACGAGCGCAACCCUUUUCCUUAUUUGCCAGCGGGUUAUGCCGGGAACUUUAAGGAUACUGCCAGUGACAAACUGGAGGAAGGCGGAGACGACGUCAAGUCAUCAUGGCCCUUACGGCCAGGGCUACACACGUGCUACAAUGG